Molecule: ribosomal RNA, 474 nt
Filed under: Paenibacillaceae bacterium IGS96
Lineage: Bacteria; Bacillati; Bacillota; Bacilli; Caryophanales; Paenibacillaceae
Description: bacterial SSU rRNA
Rfam family: Bacterial small subunit ribosomal RNA
Source: RNAcentral
GGCUCAGGACGAACGCUGGCGGCGUGCCUAAUACAUGCAAGUCGAGCGGAGUUGAUGAAGUGCUUGCACUCCUGAUACUUAGCGGCGGACGGGUGAGUAACACGUAGGUAACCUGCCCGUAAGACUGGGAUAACAUUCGGAAACGAAUGCUAAUACCGGAUACACAACUUGGUCGCAUGAUCGGAGUUGGGAAAGACGGAGUAAUCUGUCACUUACGGAUGGACCUGCGGCGCAUUAGCUAGUUGGUGAGGUAACGGCUCACCAAGGCGACGAUGCGUAGCCGACCUGAGAGGGUGAUCGGCCACACUGGGACUGAGACACGGCCCAGACUCCUACGGGAGGCAGCAGUAGGGAAUCUUCCGCAAUGGACGAAAGUCUGACGGAGCAACGCCGCGUGAGUGAUGAAGGUUUUCGGAUCGUAAAGCUCUGUUGCCAGGGAAGAACGCUAAGGAGAGUAACUGCUCCUUAGGUGAC